AUGAGGAGAGAUUCUCUAACUUGUCUUACCAUACACUUAUGAUACUUCCUACUGAGGCAGAGAGAGUACGUAGGUUUUUUGCGUGGUUGUACUAUGGUAUUCAGGCCACUAUGGCCCGAGAGGUUGAGAUGGGUACUUCUUACCAGCUAGUUAUGAAGAUAGCUUGGACUGUUGAGGGUUAUCAUCAGCGGGGUCGAGAGCAGAUGUUGCAGGACAAGCAGUUCCAUUACUCUGGAGAGUUUAGAGAUGUCCUGGCUGGGGGCAGAGGUCAGUUCAUGAUGGGUCAGCCCAGCAGGCCCACAUAUCUAGCACCGUCGUCUUUUCCGGGGACUCUAGUUCGACCUUAUUUCAGCGCCAUGUAGAGAGUUCCUACCACCCACCAGCUAUUCAUGAUUCCUCCAGUAGGUAUUCAGGCCAUCAAGGUCAGACUUCAGGUCAGAAGCAGCCCUUCGUACCGAGAGCUUGCUUCAAGUGCAAGGAUUUUAGCCACGUGCGUAGAUUCAACCCCAAGCUUUUGGGCAAGGCAGUGCAGCAGGGUUCUCAGCCUAUGAUUACAACACCAGUAGCUGCACCAGCCGUCCAACCGCCCAGAAGUGGAAGGGCAGGUGGGUAGGGUCCAUCCUAAAGGUGGAGGCCAGUCAGGUGGCACUCCAACUAGAUUCUAUGCUUUCCCGGCUAGACCAGAUGUAGUAGCAUCAAAUGCCGUGACCACAUGUAUUUUUUCUGUCUGCGGUAGGGAUGCUUUGGUAUUAUUUGAUCUAGGUUCUACAUGUGCAUAUGUGUCAUCUCUGUUUGCUCAUUUUCUGGAUGUUCCCCAUGAAUCCUUGGGUACUCUUGUUUAUGCGUCCACUUCGGUGGGCGAUUCUGUUAUUAUAGAUCAGGUCUAUCGGUCCUGCAACUUACAAUAUGUGGUUAUGAGUCUCGAGCAGAUAUUCUGCUUGUCACACCUCCUUUUUUACUGAAAGGGAUAUGAGAGUUUUUUCCAAUUAAAACGAGAAUAAUAGAAACAGGAUUAUUUAUAAUUAAAUUUAGAAUCGCCACUUAGGAUAAUUUAUGGUAUCUCAAAUAAUGGAUUUAAAAUUUCAAAUCGAGAAAGUUUGACCUGUUUUACUGUCCGCUAGAUACAGAAAUACGAGUAAAAAACUUUGUUAAUCCGGGAGAAGGUGUUGGGCAUUCCCGGAUUCCGUAGUUUUAGUACGGUUACUCAACUAUUAGUAAUUGACCUAAUUAUUUGAUUAAUCACAUAUUUAAACCUAUCGUGCAUUUUUAUUUUUUUAACCGCUUUUAGUAUUUAUGAAAUUAUUUUUUGGAACCAUGCACGAUUGUCGUACACUUAUCAUUUUUGAACACAUUGCAGAUCGAGUCACAUGAAAUGCACUCACGGUUUAUAACAUAUUUAUUUUUUAUUAUCAUUGUUAGAAGUUGUGAUUGGGUCACAUAAAAUGCACACCCAAGUAUGAUUUUAGUAUCAUGACCAUGCUAUGAUUUUAGUAUCAUGACCAUGCCACGGAUACCGUACUCAUGUUCACGAUGAUUAUUUACGGGCCGAAAAAUAUUCCUACUCAUAUAUGGCCAGUCUAAGCAUGCUACUAUCGGAUCGAGCAAGUAAACAAGACGAGCAAGUAAAGUAAACAAGAAUACGAACGUGAAAAGUUUUCUAUGCUUAAUAGAGUAAAGUUCUGUCAAAACAUUCAAAAUCAAGUCUCGGGAGACGUUCCAAAUCAAGUCUUGUGAAUUUAGUUAUUUAAAUCAAUCCCAACCCAAUUGCCAUUAAUCCCAGUCACUGAUGUGGUUCAAUAUAUUCUCUCGAUAAAAUUUUGCUCAGAUUAUUAACCAAACAAAUCAUGUGUUCGUCCUUCUAAAAAAUUAGCUAACUAAUUCGUUCCGUUCCGAAUAAAAUAUCGAAUUCAAACUAGGCACACACAAAUCAAACUAGGCAUAAAUAAUCAUACGACAACCAUAGUUAUCAAAGAAGCAAGAACAUGAAGAAAUUUUUUAAGAUUCAAAGUAAGAAAUGGACCUCAAAGGCUAAGCUCUUGGAAUCUGAAAAUAUCUAAGACCGAAAACCUUAGACGAACGACUGAAUAGGGACCUCAGACAACGACCUCCGGCAACCUCGAAGCUCGCCGAACUAAAAAAGAAACCAGCAAGGUUCACGAUAGUAACGGGUGAUUUGGAAUUAUUUUGUGACGUUUCUCAGCAAAAAUAAUAGCAAUUCGAGCUGCUGUUUCUAUGCGGAGAGGUGGGUGUUUUUCUUGUGUUUUCCCGCUAGGUUUGGAGUUUUAUGAGCUGAGCUAAAAACAAGCUCAGUCGUAAAGAAUUAGAUCAGGGAAGGAGAGGGAAAGAAGAAGAAGAUAGAGAGAAAGUUGGAUAAUAUUUCUGAUAAAUAAAAAUGAGUACAU
Molecule: long non-coding RNA, 2402 nt
Filed under: Nicotiana benthamiana
Lineage: Eukaryota; Viridiplantae; Streptophyta; Magnoliopsida; Solanales; Solanaceae
Description: long non-coding RNA (NBEN_LNC029500)
Source: RNAcentral